RNAcentral lists this ribosomal RNA (396 nucleotides) under uncultured bacterium. RNAcentral's name for it is "partial 16S ribosomal RNA". It matches the Rfam family "Bacterial small subunit ribosomal RNA", at positions 523 to 917 of the family's 1533-position model. The record is from RNAcentral.
AUACGUAGGGGGCAAGCGUUGUCCGGAAUUACUGGGCGUAAAGGGCGCGUAGGCGGCCCGGUAAGUCUGGAGUGAAAGUCCUGUUUUUAAGAUGGGAAUUGCUUUGGAUACUGUCGGGCUUGAGUGCAGGAGAGGUAAGUGGAAUUCCCAGUGUAGCGGUGAAAUGCGUAGAGAUUGGGAGGAACACCAGUGGCGAAGGCGACUUACUGGACUGUAACUGACGCUGAGGCGCGAAAGUGUGGGGAGCAAACAGGAUUAGAUACCCUGGUAGUCCACACUGUAAACGAUGAAUGCUAGGUGUAGGGGGUAUCGACCCCUUCUGUGCCGCAGUCAACAUAAUAAGCAUUCCGCCUGGGGAGUACGGCCGCAAGGUUGAAACUCAAAUGAAUUGACGGG